Molecule: ribosomal RNA, 318 nt
Filed under: uncultured eukaryote
Lineage: Eukaryota
Description: partial 18S ribosomal RNA
Rfam family: Eukaryotic small subunit ribosomal RNA
Source: RNAcentral
CCCUUAGAUGUUCUGGGCCGCACACGCGCUACACUGAAGGAGGCAGCGUGUACUCCUGGAUCGAAAGAUUUGGGUAACCCGCGAAUCUCCUUCGUGCUAGGGAUUGAGGUUUGCAAUUAUCCUUCAUGAACGAGGAAUUCCCAGUAAGUGCAAGUCAUAAGCUUGCGCUGACUACGUCCCUGCCCUUUGUACACUCCGCCCGUCGCACCUACCGAUUGAAUGGUCCGGUGAAAUCUCGGGACGGCGGCUUGGUCGCUUGCGUCCGACUGCUGAAACUUGAUUAAACCAUAUCAUUUAGAGGAAGGUGAANUCGUAACA